Molecule: ribosomal RNA, 234 nt
Filed under: uncultured bacterium
Lineage: Bacteria
Description: partial 16S ribosomal RNA
Rfam family: Bacterial small subunit ribosomal RNA
Source: RNAcentral
CGGGGUAACGGCCCACCAAGGCGACGAUCAGUAGCCGGCCUGAGAGGGUGACCGGCCACAUUGGGACUGAGACACGGCCCAAACUCCUACGGGAGGCAGCAGUGGGGAAUAUUGCACAAUGGGGGAAACCCUGAUGCAGCAACGCCGCGUGAGCGAAGAAGUAUUUCGGUAUGUAAAGCUCUAUCAGCAGGGAAGAAAGUGACGGUACCUGAGUAAGAAGCCCCGGCUAACUAC